AUUUAAAUAAUUUAAUUAAAAUGUUGAUUUGUGGUGUCAAAAAUAUGAAUAAUAUUCAAUUUUAAAUU
Molecule: transfer RNA, 68 nt
Filed under: Hyphantria cunea (fall webworm moth)
Lineage: Eukaryota; Metazoa; Arthropoda; Insecta; Lepidoptera; Erebidae
Description: tRNA-His
Source: RNAcentral